Vicia faba (fava bean) is the source of this 231-nucleotide non-coding RNA. Lineage: Eukaryota; Viridiplantae; Streptophyta; Magnoliopsida; Fabales; Fabaceae. The record is from the annotation of a GenBank genome assembly.
AUGUCAUAUUUGAGCAACAACAGAUAUGGCAGUAGUACUUCCUCUGAGGUAUCUUCCUAUUUUUGUAAUGAAGCUGACUUAAUUUUAUGCAUGAAUGCAGGUCGGUUUAUUUUAAUUUAUCGUUUGUUAUUUGGUCUGGAUAUAUGUAGAGCUGUAAAUACUCACGAGCUGGUUCUGGAUUUGAUCUUUUUUCUUCCGGUGUUUUCCCUUUUAUUAUCAGACUUUGGAUAA